Non-coding RNA from Pelobates cultripes (western spadefoot toad), 402 nucleotides. The record is from the annotation of a GenBank genome assembly. Lineage: Eukaryota; Metazoa; Chordata; Amphibia; Anura; Pelobatidae.
GUUAUGUAGAGCUCAGGCACCAUCUACUGUUCCUUUUUGGUAUAGCUCUAGUUCUGCAUAUAUUGUAACUCAGGAGGUUUAAAUAAAGUUGUUAGAAAGUACAGUAUUAUGGGCAGACCUUCUACAGGAAGUGUAUCAGCCUCCAUUUUGGGAAGAUACAGUAAGCAGCAAGUCAUGUUCUUCUCAUCCCUAGCCAUCACCGUUAGAGAGCUUAAAAAAUGAGUUCUUGUUAUCCUAUCCUGUAUUAUUGAUCCUUGUUUCUUUGUUGUAUGCAGUACUGUACUGAUUGAUGUUUAUUUCUACUAUUUUGUAGUUUCACCUGGCUUGUUCUUAUAAAUUUGAGAUCAAAGAAAUAUGGUAUCUGAAGUUUAUGGAGCAGGAAGGUUUAGCUCUCUGUCCUAG